RNAcentral lists this ribosomal RNA (556 nucleotides) under uncultured bacterium. RNAcentral's name for it is "bacterial SSU rRNA". It matches the Rfam family "Bacterial small subunit ribosomal RNA", at positions 338 to 880 of the family's 1533-position model. The record is from RNAcentral.
CCUACGGGAGGCAGCAGUGGGGAAUUUUGGACAAUGGGCGCAAGCCUGAUCCAGCAAUGCCGCGUGAGUGAAGAAGGCCUUCGGGUUGUAAAGCUCUUUUGUCAGGGAAGAAACGGUGAGGGCUAAUAUCCCUUGCUAAUGACGGUACCUGAAGAAUAAGCACCGGCUAACUACGUGCCAGCAGCCGCGGUAAUACGUAGGGUGCAAGCGUUAAUCGGAAUUACUGGGCGUAAAGCGUGCGCAGGCGGUUUUGUAAGUCUGUCGUGAAAUCCCCGGGCUCAACCUGGGAAUUGCGAUGGAGACUGCAAGGCUAGAAUCUGGCAGAGGGGGGUAGAAUUCCACGUGUAGCAGUGAAAUGCGUAGAGAUGUGGAGGAACACCGAUGGCGAAGGCAGCCCCCUGGGUCAAGAUUGACGCUCAUGCACGAAGACGGUGGGGAGGACGAACAGGAGUAGUAUACCUACGGUAGUCCGACCGACCCGUAACCGACUAGUCUACUAGUUGUUCGGGUUUUAAGUUUAACGUUAGGUUAACGUACGAGCUACGUACGUGAGUAG